AGACAUGUGGCAAGGGUCGCCAGGUCGGGAAUCGAACCUGCGACGGCCACGUUGAGGACCAAGGCCUCCAUAUGUGGGCCUUGCCCAACCCCUGCGCCCCCACAGCCCACUGCUUUGAGGAUACUAAACCCCCCCCAGCACCAAACUUCUACACCCAUCGGUGACACGUCCCUCUGUGAGACCACAGCAGAUGUGAGGAAGACCCUUCAGGGAAUCAACCCCCGUAARGCCCCGACAACAUCCCAGGCGCGUCACAGGCAUGAAUGAGGCGCUGGCCUCAUUCAUGAGGCGCUGGCCUCAUUCAGGCCUUAAACAUCUGUGGUCAUGGAGUGCUUCGAGAGGCUAGUCAAUGCCCCCAUCAAAGACUCUAUCAAUGUCACUUUGGACCGUCAUCAGUACCCCUACAGGAAGAACUGCUCCACUGCUGACCAUCUCAUCAGUGGUCCACACAGCCCUCACCCACCUGGAGAGCAGAAAUUCUGUCAUUUGUCUGCUCUUUCUGGAUUUCUCCUCAGCCUUCAACACCUUCAUCCCACAGACCCUGGUGCAGAAGCUCUUCUCUCUUGGACUGAGUCCCACACUGGGGAACAGGAUACUGAACUGCCAUGACCAACAGACCUCAGACUGUCUGCUGGCCACAACACCGUCUCGUCCCCUAUCACUCUCAGCAUUAGCUCUCCGCAGGGCUGCAUCCUGAGCGCCCUUCUCUUCGAUCUGCUGACGUAUGGCUGCUUAGCAAGACACUCCAGCUGUUAUAUCAUGAAGUUUGCAGACGACACAGCAGUAGUGGGACACAUCACAAACAAUGAGUCCACAUACAGAGAGGAGAUGGAACGUCUGGUGCAGUGAUGCAGAGACAAUAACCUCUGCAUCAACUUGAAGACCAAUGGGAUGGACAAGGAUCCUCUUCAUCCCCUGUACUUUGGAGGAGCAGCUGCCGAGGUGGUCCUUUUAUGUAUGUGUUUGUGUAAAUAAAUACUUUUAAAUACAUAAAUAAAAUAUUUUUAUAUAAAUA
Molecule: long non-coding RNA, 1015 nt
Organism: Poecilia reticulata (guppy)
Lineage: Eukaryota; Metazoa; Chordata; Actinopteri; Cyprinodontiformes; Poeciliidae
Source: RefSeq, a predicted model, not a curated record